RNAcentral lists this ribosomal RNA (887 nucleotides) under uncultured rumen bacterium. RNAcentral describes it as "bacterial SSU rRNA". It matches the Rfam family "Bacterial small subunit ribosomal RNA", at positions 505 to 1397 of the family's 1533-position model. The record is from RNAcentral.
GUGCCAGCAGCCGCGGUAAUACGGAAGGUCCUGGCGUUAUCCGGAUUUAUUGGGUUUAAAGGGAGCGUAGGCGGAACUUAAGCGUGCUGUGAAAUGUACCGGCUCAACCGGUGACGUGCAGCGUGAACUGGGUUUCUUGAGUGUGCGGAAGGAAGGCGGAAUUCGUGGUGUAGCGGUGAAAUGCUUAGAUAUCACGAAGAACUCCGAUUGCGAAGGCAGCUUUCCGUAGCAUUACUGACGCUGAAGCUCGAAAGCGCGGGUAUCGAACAGGAUUAGAUACCCUGGUAGUCCGCGCGGUAAACGAUGGAUACCCGCUGUCCGGCUUUUUGGUCGGGUGGCCAAGCGAAAGCAUUAAGUAUCCCACCUGGGGAGUACGCCGGCAACGGUGAAACUCAAAGGAAUUGACGGGGGCCCGCACAAGCGGAGGAACAUGUGGUUUAAUUCGAUGAUACGCGAGGAACCUUACCCGGGCUUGAACUGCAGCUGAACGAUAGAGAGAUCUUGAGGCCCUUCGGGGCAGCUGUGGAGGUGCUGCAUGGUUGUCGUCAGCUCGUGCCGUGAGGUGUCGGCUUAAGUGCCAUAACGAGCGCAACCUUGCGGUCAGUUGCCAUCAGGUUAUGCUGGGCACUCUGGCCGGACUGCCACCGUAAGGUGUGAGGAAGGUGGGGAUGACGUCAAAUCAGCACGGCCCUUACGUCCGGGGCUACACACGUGUUACAAUGGGGCAUACAGAGAGCCGGUCGUUCGCAAGUGCGAUCCAAUCCUUAAAGUGCCUCGUAGUUCGGAUUGGGGUCUGCAACCCGACCCCAUGAAGCUGGAUUCGCUAGUAAUCGCGCAUCAGCCAUGGCGCGGUGAAUACGUUCCCGGGCCUUGUACACACCGCCCGU